AGCUGCAGCCCACCAGGAGAAUGAUAGAAUGGAUCAGUCUUUUCAAUGCCUAAAGAAAUCCAAAUAUAUCACCAUGAUGAAAAAAGUACCAAGCCUCAGAAGACACCCAUAAACCAGAAACAAAAAGAUGUGGAUACCAUCAAACUAAUAAAGCUCAGAUUUGAGCAUGGGAGGUCUUCUGAAAACCAUGGACAAUGACCAAAAAGAGGAAAGAAGAGAACCAGACCUUCCCCAGCUGGCCAGAAACGCCGGGACAAGAAAGGUUCAGCACCUAAGCGACUGACAGGCCAUGAGGAGGAGAACUUCGGUCUCCUGCUAUACAAAGCCAUCCACCUGCAGAGCAGCCAGAGGCCCAGGAGCAGCACUACAGGCAAAGGUUCACAGAGCUGGGACAGAGAUUAAGAGACUUCAAUGAGAAAUCAUAGUGCCUUAUAAUUAUGCCAUUAUGAGUAAUUAAUAAAGAUUGGUAAAGAACCUGUAA
Mus musculus (house mouse) is the source of this 481-nucleotide long non-coding RNA. RefSeq annotates it as predicted gene, 40260. NCBI's taxonomy places the organism in Eukaryota, Metazoa, Chordata, Mammalia, Rodentia, Muridae. The transcript has 2 exons. The record is from RefSeq and is a predicted model, not a curated record.